RNAcentral lists this long non-coding RNA (1963 nucleotides) under Equus caballus (horse). Its description in RNAcentral is "lncRNA (ENSECAG00000044674.1)". The record is from RNAcentral. Lineage: Eukaryota; Metazoa; Chordata; Mammalia; Perissodactyla; Equidae.
CUCAGUGAGGUACCCCCAAAGUAUAACCAACUCAGUCAACUGUCUUAGAGUCAUUCUUGGGAAACUCAAAGACACAGUCCUAGUGAUACGGGACUCAGGCCUCUUUGCUGGCACAUGUCCAGGGGACACUCCCCAACACCACUUCAUCCACUAGAGAAUGUUGUCUGAGCCCUAGACAUUAAUGCUCCUUGCCUUAUGGAUCUUUCUUAACUGUCUCUGAACUGUUGUUUCAACAAAUGGGAGGAUCAUCUGGGAUCCUAGAGAAAUUAGGUUUUCUGUAUAUGUGCUGCUUCAUGCUCUUCACGCUACCACAGGCACAAAAGAGGUCUGUUGACAGGGUUUUUGCACUGUUGCAUGCAGUGAUGCACUUGAUGAAGAGCAUUCUCAUCUUUUCAGUGCUCUCCACAGGUCACAGUUUGCUUACCUGUUUGGUGGUGUGACAGAAUGACACUGGAUCUCAGCUAUUUGCCUAACUGCACAUGACUAAACAAUGAUUAUUAUACUUCUUUGACUUCACUCUCUGCUUAGUUAACUGGGUGACUAAGUUUCUAAGUCUACAACCAUCUCUGACCUGAUAGCCAGAAUGAUAGGCAACCCAGCUGUAUGACCCACCUAGAAGGAAAGGAUCCAGGGAGCGUUGCCAGGGUAGGUGACUGCCUGCUGCUUUCUCAGGCUUAGGCUCCUCUGUAUCCUCGGGCCUUGUCCUCCCAUCCUGAGCACAUAGUCUUCAGUGUCAGGUAACUAGGAAAUAAACAUUCUGAGCCACCUCUAGCCCGAUCCUAAUCUGAGUCCCACAGAUGGUUUGCAGUGUUCAUUGGCUGGCUGAGAUACAUGCGGAAUUGUCUGGGUCUUUGCAUAUGUCUAACAUGAGAAUUCAUGGCUUUUGUUAGCUUUUCAAAAUGGUCACUGUUUUACUGAUUCAGAAUUGUCAAGAACUGCUGCUCAGGGCCCCACUCUGCCGGAAGUUCAUGGGUAUGUUAUAUGUGCAUGUUUCUAGGAAGAGAGUGUAUGGCUUCCGUCAAAUACUCAAAAUGUUUAAUUUAUUACCUAUAAUUUUCAGCUGCUGCUCAGAAGUGACCCCCCCCCCCCAGGAAGCUUAUGACUAUCCUGGUCAGCCCUCCAGUGCCAUUUCACAGCCACUCCAGGACUGCCAUCAGUGCCUGUGAGUAUUCCGGAGACAGACCCAGGGGGAUCUGCAGCUCCUUUCUGGCUGGUGGCCUUCCUCACUGCAGGGUGAUAGCUUCAGGGUAAAGGCUCUUCUCUCUCAAGUGGUGUGGAUCUUGGGGUUGGCACCAUUCUCUGUGGAGCUAAGAAAAGUGCAUCUCAGAAUGAUAUGAGAAGGUGACUUAGGUGAAUACUGGUCUUUUAAGAAAUGAGUUCACGUGUAUAAAAUUGCAUUCUGGGUGUGUGUGCGUGUGAGUUGUAUAGGUGCAUUUUCAUGCCAUGUGUACAUGUCUGUAGGGACAGCAUAUAGUAUAAUGUUUAAGAGCUGUUGUACACAUGAAGUGGACUCCUCAAGUUCUUUAUCAGUGGGGCUUGUUUUAAAAUAUGCAGUGUUCUUUGUAAAAGAAAAAAUUGUAAAUAUGUGUAUGAAACGUGGCCUGUAUCUGGUUAGCACCAACAUCCCUCAGGACGCCCAAACAAGCACAGUUGAAGCUCGACUGUGUGUGUGUGUUUUAAGGAUACAGGCAAACAUGCUAGGGCCCAUGAAUAAACAUGAAUCUUUGGCAAAGGGUUGGGGUGAAUCUAUGCAGGCCAAGACUCCAUGAGGUUUAGCAGACAUCACCUCCCCUCUGGCUGAGAGCUAAAUGGUGACAGCAGACAUGCAGGGCUGAGAGAUGUAGGCAUUCUUGGGCAUCCACUGUUGAGAACACUUGCUGAGCACCUUGAGCAUCUGGUGAACAUCAAGCCUCAGGAGUACAGACUAUAUCCUAGAGCAAAGGCUGCACAAACUGGCUCAUGG